Molecule: long non-coding RNA, 814 nt
Filed under: Androctonus crassicauda
Lineage: Eukaryota; Metazoa; Arthropoda; Arachnida; Scorpiones; Buthidae
Source: RNAcentral
UUUUCUUUUUGGUUAUGUUGGGUUUUUUAAUCUAUCAUCAUCAUCAUCAUCAUCAAGCUGAUGAGCAAUGUCUGCUGCAGUCAUUCUUAGAUCUACCACAGCUUUCCUUCUAAUAAACUGGUCCUCUCAAAUUAUCGUUUUUCUUGCCUUCCAGAUCAUGUUUUAUCUUUCAGUCCUAAUCCUACAUGAUGUUUAGCCAGACUAUCAUUCAUCCUUGAUUUACUAUGAAAAGCAAGGAUGAAAUCUCACGAGAUGUUCUGUCUUUCUCUGACAACACAAUAACCCUUUGACACAACUGAAUAGUCAUAUGUGGAGUCAUAGCUGUGCUUUGAAAAUAUAAAUUGAACUUUCUUCUUCAAGUACUGUCAUUCUUAUAAUGACAUGGAUUUGUUUAGUGCUUUUGAGUGCUAUUAAAAUAUGGAAUGUUGGUUUGGCCAGAAACUUUUGCACAUACUUAUCUUGGUAUUUUGAAUUGUAAUAAUACCUCUUUGUAUAUAAUCAUAAUUAUUUCAUCAUUAGCUGUAGUUGGACUGUUUCAAAUACUGUUAUUAGUUUUUGAUUUUUUUUAUUUCAGGUUUUAUGAGAGUGCAUGGUAUUUCUUACUUGGCUGGAAACUUUUGCAUGCCGCUGUACAUUGUUAUUUCCCAUGAUAGUUGACCUUGCAUCAGUCUUCCACUAUUACUAUUGAACUCCUUCUUUAUCAUGAUCUAGUUGCUUUGCCUGACAAUUACAUUACUAAAAUUAACCAAAUUUUCACAAUUAUUUAAUAAUAAUAUAAAAAAAAUAAUAGGAAUUUGAAUACAUAUUAAUAUAU